Molecule: long non-coding RNA, 2340 nt
Organism: Heterocephalus glaber (naked mole-rat)
Lineage: Eukaryota; Metazoa; Chordata; Mammalia; Rodentia; Bathyergidae
Source: Ensembl
CGCAGCCCGGCCCGGGAGGGGAGCGGGCGCUGGUCUGCGCAGCGCAGAGAGAUUGCAGCUUCGGAAAUCCGAGCCCAGCCGGGUUCCGGGGCGCCGCCCCCCGGAGCAGCAGCUCUGUAUCCCGGGCUGCGCAGCCGCGCGCUCCGGCGGCUCUGGGGCGCGGGGACCUGGAGGACGGGUUCAUUUUCCUUAGCGAGAGCCCCGGAGUGAAGCCUGCGACGCGCUGACCUGAGCUCUCCUCUGCCCCGAGGUAGCCCGCGGGCGCGUCGCCGUCCGGAUCCGCUCUUCUGUUCCCGACUGCGAGCCUGGUUCCGGGCGCAGGUGAUAGGAUGGGCAUUCCUGCCUCGGCCUCCGCCCGCGGUUAGACAGGGCCAGGACGCGUACCCCGUCCCCGCCCCUGCCCCUCGGGCCCCGCCAGCAGCGGGGACAGGACGGGGACGGGGACGGCGGAGCCGCGGCGAGCGCACUCGGGGCUCGGCUCGGGACGCGGCGGGAACCCGGCCCGCGGGGCCGCAUCGGUGCGCAGCGGGAGGCUGAGGCAGGAAGGUCACGAAGAGUUUGAUGGCAGCCAGGACCACUUGGAGGGACCCUGUCUCCAAACUCCCCCCAAAACAACAGAAAACCCCAAAACAAAAACACAUAAACACGAAAGUCCUCUGUCUUCAUCUUUGCUUGUAUGGUGCACUAUUAUUUUGUCUAACGUACAUGGUCUCUCUCACUAUUUCCGGUCUUUCUACAUGACCCUUCAAAUCCACCGUGGGCUGAGAAAGACACCCUGGAGCACAUCUGUUGGGAGUAUUACAGUUGCGCAAGGCACACAACCCACAUCACAUUGGAAUAAGGCGGAAGAUGUCCAUCUCACGGAAAUACUCAGCCUUCAGUCAUGUGCCUGGAGUUUAAAUGACUUGACGGAGACCCAGUUUCCUUCUCAUCCAUCCUCUUCCUCACCUGGGCUUCCUCCUCGGCCCCUGCUCCUGACAGCUCCGAGACAAACUGGUCAGCGCAAGUUCAGAGAAGACCAGUGCGAUCCGCCCAGUAGCUCUGGUGCUGGUUCCAGGAUGCAGCAGCUGCCACACACGCCUGUCCUGGACGCAGUUGCUGUGGCUGGGAAACUGUCCCCAGCCCGCUCUGGGCAGCUGCGGUCCUGUCUCUGGGACAAGGGGCAGCUCCAGUUGUCAGGUGGAGGCCUCCACAUCAUUCUUGGAAACAAGAGGCUCAAACGGAGGGAGAGGGGCGGAGGGAAAGCUCCAGGCAGAAGAGGAGCAGUGGAAAUGCCGCAGCCUGGUGACAAACGGGUUACAGAAACCAGGGCUAGGGACAGGCGUGGGGAAGCCCUCGGGACUGCUUUAUGGGGAAAGCCCGAGCAUUAUUAGCAUACACGUUCGCACGAUGGUUAUUUGGUGGGACAGCAGUAUUUCUUCAUAUCCCAGUUUAGCUGUAUUCUUUGCAGCUAAAGUUGCAAAAUAAGUAAGCUUUGUAUAUGUAAACCUUCAGUAUAUGGCUCUUGAAUUAAUGGAUUUUAUUUUAGAUUCUCCCUAUUCAAAUAAUAUUUUGAAGGGAAAUAAGAAAAAAGGAAUCUUUCCUCCUUAUAUAAUUGUUUCUGCAGAUUAACGUUUGAGAAAACACAUCGCAGAUCACUUAGGAGACACUAGAAAAAUAUCAUUCAGUUGGAAACCAAAAACUUCGCUGUGCAACCAACUCAGAUUUUAAUUGGUCAUGUGACCCCAAAAAGUCCUUUGAUUUCUUGAGAUUGUGUCAACAUGAUUUUAUCAGUAUGAAUGAUGUUAUUUAAAUUCUUCAUGGGGAAAUCAGGACCCUGAAAAAAGUACCUGUAUUAUUCUAGAUAGAGCCUGUAAUGGCAUCUUAAUGCCACAUGUACCAUUCAUUUCCGGGUUCAUGCUUGAGGGUGGUUAUAAAAGUGCUUUAAAAGUUUUUAAUGAAUUAUAGAUCUCAGCACAUGUAUCUUCCAGAUGAAAAGUUAAUUAAAUCAAAUAAACAAAUGCCUACUAAAAAGCACCCUCCCGGGUGCAGGGAUUGGGUUUGGUGAGCGGUGCACACAGGAGGACGGAGCCCCUGUCUCCUCUGUGAGGCACCUGCAGCUCCGUCCGUCUGUCUGUCGGAGGGGAGGGGAGGGAAAAUGGUCCACUCAGCGGUCCUUCCAGAGUGUGACGGUGUCCGAGAAAGCAACAGAGUGUUGGGGAGUUUCAAAGAGCGGAAAGAGAAGCUCCGAGGCUACUCAGAAAGACUGUACAGGACAUAAAACUGGGAUGGUCCGCGAAGGAGGAAUGGGUAAGACAUCUCAGAGUUAAGAGAGCAACAAGAACAACAAGGCAGACACCA